Molecule: unclassified non-coding RNA, 283 nt
Filed under: root metagenome
Description: partial contains small subunit ribosomal RNA, internal transcribed spacer 1, and 5.8S ribosomal RNA
Source: RNAcentral
UUUCCGUUGGUGAACCUGCGGAAGGAUCAUUGUCUUGACCCUGACCAAAAUAGACCGCGCACGCAUUAUCCAAUCCGCCGGUGAUGGCACUGUCCGUCGCUCGGCCAAGUCCUCGACCGCCUCCCCUCCUUGGAGUGGGGGCUCAGGGUAAAAGAACCCAUGGCGCCGAAGGCGUCAAGGAACACUAUGCCUAACCCGGGGCCAUGGCUAGCUUGCUAGUCGUCCCCCGUGUUGCAAAGCUAUUUAAUCCACACGACUCUCGGCAAUGGAUAUCUCGGCUCUU